AACGAACGCUGGCGGCAUGCCUAACACAUGCAAGUCGAACGAGACCUUCGGGUCUAGUGGCGCACGGGUGCGUAACGCAUGGGAAUCUGCCCUUGGGUUCGGAAUAACAGUUGGAAACGACUGCUAAUACCGGAUGAUGACGUAAGUCCAAAGAUUUAUCGCCCAAGGAUGAGCCCGCGUAGGAUUAGCUAGUUGGUGAGGUAAAGGCUCACCAAGGCGACGAUCCUUAGCUGGUCUGAGAGGAUGAUCAGCCACACUGGGACUGAGACACGGCCCAGACUCCUACGGGAGGCAGCAGUGGGGAAUAUUGGACAAUGGGCGAAAGCCUGAUCCAGCAAUGCCGCGUGAGUGAUGAAGGCCUUAGGGUUGUAAAGCUCUUUUACCCGGGAUGAUAAUGACAGUACCGGGAGAAUAAGCUCCGGCUAACUCCGUG
Molecule: ribosomal RNA, 433 nt
Filed under: uncultured bacterium
Lineage: Bacteria
Description: partial 16S ribosomal RNA
Rfam family: Bacterial small subunit ribosomal RNA
Source: RNAcentral